This is a long non-coding RNA of Thalassophryne amazonica, 1938 nucleotides long. RefSeq lists it as uncharacterized. The record is from RefSeq and is a predicted model, not a curated record. The transcript is spliced from 3 exons. NCBI's taxonomy places the organism in Eukaryota, Metazoa, Chordata, Actinopteri, Batrachoidiformes, Batrachoididae.
UUUUACACAACAACAGCAUGUUUGCACAGUCCCUCGUUUGUAAGAAUUUAAUAACGCCCUUGUUUUCAUUGAAAGUUAAUCUGAAGAGGAUUUUUUUUUAACUACUGCAUUGUAUUAUAAAGAGCAUAUGCUUGUUUGGUCAAAGCUGCUGAAAUUAUGGUUUUCAGAGGGGUUCCUGUGAUCACUCCAUAGUUUCAGUUACAUGAUCAGUUACAAAUGAUUAUAUUACUCAGUGUGCUUUUGUUAGAAUAUGUUUAAAUGCUAUAAAGGUUUAGAUAAUUUUUCACUCUAUCCAUUUUUUAAAUGGUUGGCUCAUCUAUAUGAACUUUCUUGUAUUCAUCCUGAGACUUCUUUCAUGCCCCUGGUGUAGAUUUAUCACAGUACUGACUUGGUCAGAGAGGUGUAUUUAUACUGCACUGAAAUGAAAUCCAUGUGACCUCUCGAACAUGACUGUCAGUUGUGCCACAUUAUAAAUGCUUGCGCAGUUGUUUACCCCCAAUGUUUUAAACUAAAAAAUUCCAUAUUUAUCUAAUUUUGAAAAGGGUCAUUUGUUCAUCUGGUGUAAUUAAGACAAAACCAGUUGUUAGUAGAAAAACAUGUUUUUACUGUGAUCAGCAGGUCUGAAUGUCAUUAACUCUCCAAGGCUGAUAAUUACUAUGACCAUGCAUAGCUUUAGUUCAUAUUUGUGCUUUGCUGUGGCUUUGACAUCUGAUUUUUAAAAAUAAAGACAAAGGUAGACUACAUUCUUUACUAUCACACAAGUGUAUUGCAAUGUGGAAACAGAGAUACAUGGAAAAAAGUACAGAAACGGGGUGAUAACCUGUGAGCUAUCCAUGGUGCUGAAAUGUUUUUACAGGGAAGAGUUUUUUAAAUGUCAAAUCCAGUGAUUUCUCGUGGAAUACGUCAAACAAUACCAUUUGUUUCAUUCUGAAAACAUAUCAAAUAUUGUCAUUAAUGGGGGAGGGGUCCAUUCAAUUGAACUACAUAUCAAAACAUUUGAAGUAUUUAAUAUGGCUGGGAAUUGAUGGUAUUAAAAUAUGGUUUGGGUUUUAGCAGAGGAAAUGUUCAAAUUAAUAAAGUUCUAUGCCACUUAAAUGUAGUUUAAGUUGUUUUGGUCAGCUUGUAUGUUUUGCAUGCAGUUUAGUAUGUGCUCAAUUAUACAACUCUGUAUUCCAUCCAGUUUUUUUUUAAGCCAUCCAGUACAACACAGCUGCAGAUGACUUGAUUGUAAGAAUGUUUUUACAUACAAUCUGACCACAUCCCCAAAAGUAUGCAUUUUUAAAAGUGAAACCAGUCAUGGAGAAUACUAUUUUUCAUUAGUCUGUCUUGUGCAUGAAUAUUAUAUACCCUAGGGGAUGAACAAAUAGAUAUAGAGGGAAAUGAAAGUGUUUCACAAUGAAACGGCGUUAACUACCAACCAAUUUUUAUUGGUUUGUUCCUAACAAUCAUUACACAAGUACAGCUAUUAACAAAUAAAGGAAAAAAAAAUGCACACUUGUACUUAAUAGAUACCUAAACCCCACAUGAAUAUUGCUGCUGGUAUGCAUUUGACAUCAAAAUAAAUGUAGUUUCUUGGCAUUUAUAAAGCCAUUAUCAAGUUUGUUGUAUAAUGUUACACAACUUGUAUGCUUGAAAACAAAUUCAUAUUUUGUUUAAACCAUCCUUACACUGUACCAUUACACACUGCAUAUAGAAAGAUUGAAAACCCUUUUCACAGCUGCUGUACAAAUUUAUUGCGAUGCUAUCACAGAACAGAGACACAACCAACACGCAAUGCACAAUUCUGACAGGGUGAGUUCCAGUACCAAGGACUUUUAGGGCCACCGAUCAGAUUUGGUAAGAAAACUGUGGCUACAAGAGUUAAACAGAAUCAAAGCUUACAAACGAUCUAAAACACUGUUGUUCAUUAAAAACAAAACAAUAAGUGCCCCAUCACUU